GAACGCGGCAGCCGGGGAAGGGUAAGAACCUUCGAGAAAGGUUCGGCUCGAGCGAAAGCGAGAGAGCGUUGCCACAGGCAACGACCCGAAGGGUGAGGAGCGAAGCGACGAAUAAUCCUUCCCCCACCACCA
Molecule: small RNA, 132 nt
Filed under: Intestinirhabdus alba
Lineage: Bacteria; Pseudomonadati; Pseudomonadota; Gammaproteobacteria; Enterobacterales; Enterobacteriaceae
Description: RtT sRNA
Rfam family: RtT RNA
About the family: This family represents a bacterial cis-regulatory element known as RtT RNA. The exact function of RtT is unknown although it is thought that it may be involved in changing the cellular response in relation to amino acid starvation.
Source: RNAcentral